RNAcentral lists this ribosomal RNA (253 nucleotides) under uncultured bacterium. RNAcentral's name for it is "partial 16S ribosomal RNA". It matches the Rfam family "Bacterial small subunit ribosomal RNA", at positions 524 to 776 of the family's 1533-position model. The record is from RNAcentral.
UACGUAGGUGGCAAGCGUUAUCCGGAUUUAUUGGGCGUAAAGGGAACGCAGGCGGUCUUUUAAGUCUGAUGUGAAAGCCCUCGGCUUAACCGGAGUAGUGCAUUGGAAACUGGGAGACUUGAGUGCAGAAGAGGAGAGUGGAACUCCAUGUGUAGCGGUGAAAUGCGUAGAUAUAUGGGAGAACACCAGUGGCGAAAGCGGCUCUCUGGUCUGUAACUGACGCUGAGGUUCGAAAGCGUGGGUAGCAAACAGG